This 460-nucleotide ribosomal RNA is filed under the name uncultured bacterium. RNAcentral describes it as "partial 16S ribosomal RNA". It matches the Rfam family "Bacterial small subunit ribosomal RNA", at positions 338 to 795 of the family's 1533-position model. The record is from RNAcentral.
CCUACGGGCGGCAGCAGUGAGGAAUAUUGGUCAAUGGGCGCGAGCCUGAACCAGCCAAGUAGCGUGAAGGAUGACUGCCCUACGGGUUGUAAACUUCUUUUGUCAGGGAGCAACGCCGGCUACGUGUAGCCGGACUGAGAGUACCUGAAGAAAAAGCAUCGGCUAACUCCGUGCCAGCAGCCGCGGUAAUACGGAGGAUGCGAGCGUUAUCCGGAUUUAUUGGGUUUAAAGGGUGCGUAGGCGGAAUGCCAAGUCAGCGGUAAAAUCGCGGGGCUCAACCUCGCUCCGCCGUUGAAACUGGCGUUCUGGAGUGGGCGAGAAGUAUGCGGAAUGCGUGGUGUAGCGGUGAAAUGCAUAGAUAUCACGCAGAACUCCGAUUGCGAAGGCAGCAUACCGGCGCCCAACUGACGCUGAAGCACGAAAGCGUGGGUAUCGAACAGGAUUAGAUACCCUGGUAGUC